GAGACCUUACCCGACUUAGCUGAGAGGUGGUGCAUGGCCGUCGUCAGUUCGUACUGUGAAGCAUCCUGUUAAGUCAGGCAACGAGCGAGACCCACGUCCACAGUUGCCAGCAUACCCUCCGGGGUGGAUGGGUACACUGUGGAGACCGCCGCUGCUAAAGCGGAGGAAGGAGUGGGCAACGGUAGGUCAGUAUGCCCCGAAUCUCCCGGGCUACACGCGGGCUACAAUGGUUGGUACAAUGGGCAUCUACCCCGAAAGGGGGAAGGAAAUCUCUUAAAGCCAAUCGUAGUUCGGAUUGAGGGCUGCAACUCGCCCUCAUGAAGCUGGAAUCCGUAGUAAUCGCGUUUCAACAGAACGCGGUGAAUACGUCCCUGCUCCUU
Molecule: ribosomal RNA, 380 nt
Filed under: uncultured Methanosaeta sp.
Lineage: Archaea; Methanobacteriati; Methanobacteriota; Methanomicrobia; Methanotrichales; Methanotrichaceae
Description: bacterial SSU rRNA
Rfam family: Archaeal small subunit ribosomal RNA
Source: RNAcentral